Acidaminococcus sp. CAG:917 is the source of this 326-nucleotide non-coding RNA. It matches the Rfam family "Bacterial RNase P class A". From Rfam's summary of the family: Ribonuclease P (RNase P) is a ubiquitous endoribonuclease, found in archaea, bacteria and eukarya as well as chloroplasts and mitochondria. Its best characterised activity is the generation of mature 5'-ends of tRNAs by cleaving the 5'-leader elements of precursor-tRNAs. NCBI's taxonomy places the organism in Bacteria, Bacillati, Bacillota, Negativicutes, Acidaminococcales, Acidaminococcaceae. The record is from Rfam.
CAAGUUAGCCGAAUGGUCGCUUCAAAUUUUUGAAGAGGAAAGUCCGAGCAUCGCAGGGCAAAGGUGCCGGGUAACUCCCGGUGAAGGCGACUUCAAGGAAAGUGCAACAGAAAAAAACCGCCCGCAAGGGUAAGGGUGAAAAGGCGAGGUAAGAGCUCACCGACGACUUGGUAACAAGAAGUAGUGUAAACCCCAUCUGAUGCAAGAGAGUUAUAGACUAUGGGCUGCCCGUCCGUCUAUACAAAUCGCUUGAGUAUACAGGCAACUGUAUAUCUAGAUAGAUGGCCAUUCAAGACAGAACUCGGCUUACAGACUAAUCUUGCUUA